This 253-nucleotide ribosomal RNA is filed under the name uncultured bacterium. RNAcentral's name for it is "partial 16S ribosomal RNA". It matches the Rfam family "Bacterial small subunit ribosomal RNA", at positions 524 to 776 of the family's 1533-position model. The record is from RNAcentral.
UACGGGGGGGGCAAGCGUUGUUCGGAAUUACUGGGCGUAAAGGGCUCGUAGGUGGCCAACUAAGUCAUACGUGAAAUCCCUCGGCUAAACCGGGGAACUGCGUCUGAUACUGGAUGGCUUGAGGUUGGGAGAGGGAUGCGGAAUUCCAGGUGUAGCGGUGAAAUGCGUAGAUAUCUGGAGGAACACCGGUGGCGAAGGCGGCAUCCUGGACCAAUUCUGACACUGAGGAGCGAAAGCCAGGGGAGCAAACGGG